This 163-nucleotide ribosomal RNA is filed under the name uncultured bacterium. Its description in RNAcentral is "partial 16S ribosomal RNA". It matches the Rfam family "Bacterial small subunit ribosomal RNA", at positions 1338 to 1500 of the family's 1533-position model. The record is from RNAcentral.
GUAAUCGCGGAUCAGCAUGCCGCGGUGAAUACGUUCCCGGGCCUUGUACACACCGCCCGUCACACCAUGGGAGUCGGUAACACCCGAAGCCUGUAGUCUAACCGCAAGGAGGACGCAGUCGAAGGUGGGAUUGAUGACUGGGGUGAAGUCGUAACAAGGUACC